Molecule: transfer RNA, 67 nt
Filed under: Marmota monax (woodchuck)
Lineage: Eukaryota; Metazoa; Chordata; Mammalia; Rodentia; Sciuridae
Description: tRNA.Ala
Source: RNAcentral
GGUUGUGGCUCAGUGGUAGAAUGCUCAUCUGGCAUGUGCAAGGCCCUGUGUUCGAUCCUCAGCACUA